Long non-coding RNA from Gymnodraco acuticeps, 570 nucleotides. RefSeq lists it as uncharacterized. Lineage: Eukaryota; Metazoa; Chordata; Actinopteri; Perciformes; Bathydraconidae. The record is from RefSeq and is a predicted model, not a curated record. The transcript is spliced from 3 exons.
UGAUAGGUGGUAACAGUCAUUUCUCUGUCCCCGUCAGUGCAGCAGACCGACGGAGACGAGACGACGGAGUGUGUUGAAGCGGCCUAUAUGAACAACUACAAUCCCCGGUUCAGGUGGCGACUGGCGCGCUAACGGAGCUCCAGGAGGGAAAACCUUUGCGACGCUGAGGUUCGGCUGAUUUGCAAAGACAUCUGACAUUGCACAGCAACGAAUGAGAAUGUGUCUGCCCUUAUUUGUCCGUGACAGUGCAGAGAAGCUCUUCCUGAAAUGCCUGGACACUGAUCCGGAAGAAAAGCAGACUGCUGGUGUCAAGAUGGGAGUCCUCACUGUUCUCGUAGAUGAUGGUGGACCUACCCCGUCUCAAAUGGUCAACAGUAUUGCUGUUGUCUUGGAAGAGACAAUUGUACUCUCGGAUCUACCAGACAUCCCAACUGCAUUUGUCUACCUUUUUGGUCUACUCUAUGCCCUGAACAUUGAGUUUCCAAAAGAACACAAGUACACUUUUGAGACUGUUCAGCACAUCUUCAUGGGACUUUCCACCAGUUGCUCCCAGCGGGUCAGGAGUUUGAA